GUCUAUGGCCAUACCACCCUGAACACACCCGAUCUCAUCUGAUCUUAGAAGCUAAGCAGGGUAGGGCCUGGUUAGUACUUGGAUGGGAUAAGAUAAACAAACAAUUGUGUUGCCUUUCAUU
This is a ribosomal RNA of Erinaceus europaeus (western European hedgehog), 121 nucleotides long. The record is from Ensembl. Lineage: Eukaryota; Metazoa; Chordata; Mammalia; Eulipotyphla; Erinaceidae.